UGACGUAGGGUGCGAGCGUUGUCCGGAAUUAUUGGGCGUAAAGAGCUCGUAGGCGGUUUGUCGCGUCUGCUGUGAAAACCUCAGGCUCAACCUGGGGCUUGCAGUGGGUACGGGCAGACUAGAGUGCGGUAGGGGUGACUGGAAUUCCUGGUGUAGCGGUGGAAGUGCGCAGAUAUCAGGAGGAACACCCGAUGGCGAAGGCAGGUCACUGGGCCGC
Molecule: ribosomal RNA, 217 nt
Filed under: uncultured bacterium
Lineage: Bacteria
Description: partial 16S ribosomal RNA
Rfam family: Bacterial small subunit ribosomal RNA
Source: RNAcentral